AUUGAACGCUGGCGGCAUGCUUUACACAUGCAAGUCGAACGGCAGCGCGGGGCAACCUGGCGGCGAGUGGCGAACGGGUGAGUAAUAUAUCGGAACGUACCCAGAAGUGGGGGAUAACGUAGCGAAAGUUACGCUAAUACCGCAUACGAUCUUUGGAUGAAAGUGGGGGACCUUCGGGCCUCAUGCUUUUGGAGCGGCCG
Molecule: ribosomal RNA, 200 nt
Filed under: uncultured bacterium
Lineage: Bacteria
Description: partial 16S ribosomal RNA
Rfam family: Bacterial small subunit ribosomal RNA
Source: RNAcentral